Molecule: long non-coding RNA, 2221 nt
Organism: Mangifera indica (mango)
Lineage: Eukaryota; Viridiplantae; Streptophyta; Magnoliopsida; Sapindales; Anacardiaceae
Exons: 4
Source: RefSeq, a predicted model, not a curated record
AUCCAUUGAGUUUGAAAACUUGGUUUUCCAUCCACCAGCCAAUUUUACCGGUGUAUGUUGUUAGCUUUGAUGGUAGAUGUUAGCCUGUGUAUGUUUUGACGAGAUAAACUCUAAAAAAAAAACAAAGAAUCAUUGCAAUUGAAUUAACCUUGUUUAAGGCAGCAAGAUUUGUUUGAGUGUGAAAAUGUAGGAAAUAGACAUGGAGUGCAUGUUUCACAAAUUGGAAUGCUCAUGAAAUAGUUAAUUGUUUCAAAAGGUUUCAAAUCAUUACAUUAAUAUACGAUUUUGUUAUUCUAACAAAAGUUAAAGAUUAAAUAUGGAAUACCUAUUCCAAAAAAUUUCAGAACAAGAACAAUCGUUAAAAUAAGUCAUUUUUUAUUGUAUCAUGUAAGGGGACGUCAUUGGCAUCGACACAAACAAGUUUUAUAUAUUUGAUGCAUUUUGACUAUGCACUACAUUGAAAGUUGAUAUAUGAAUUGUGGAUGUGAUAUUUUGUGUGCUCAAAAAUAAUUUGAUGCUUAAAUGUAUGUUUUAUGUGUUUGAUGGUUACAUAAACAUGAUAUAGGUAAAUGUUUUAUAUGAUUUUACAUGUUUGAUGCUUGAUAAAAAUCAAAUUGAUUCAAACUUAUGUGUGUAGCUUAUUUGAAUAAUUUUUCAUAUUAAUUAGUAAAAUCCCUCAAAAAAUUGAAAUAUCAAAAAAAAUUUCAUACGAAUUACAUAUUUUUGAAGUUUCAUCAAUUACUGGAGUAGAUCUGAUGCUGCACUUCCUGGGAUUCUGACAUCUAUGGUGAUGCCUCCACGACCUCUGGGAUUUCAUUAUUCAGUGUGUCAAAUUUGAUGGUGGAAGCCUGGGCUUAGCUUGGAUACAUCAGCAUAUCUAGAGGAAUAUGGAAAGCCAAUCAAAGACUCACAAGCUUCGAAUAGUAAAGUGUCCUAAAUGUUGGCUGCUGCUUCCGGAGCCUGCAGAUGUUGCUGUAUACCAGUGUGGUGGAUGUGACACUGUGCUACGAGUAAAACCUCGGAAAGACGGUGCCAAAAGCACAGCCUCAGGUUCAUAUGGGAUAGAUGCAGCUAAGACAAAUGAGUUCCAUCAUGUUAGUUCUGAAUCUAUCGGCUCUAGUCCGAAUGAAAUUCUUUUGUCCUCAGGAGAAAUUUCUUUGGACCAAAACAAUGGGAGGGAUGAAUGCAUAUCCACUGAUUGCAGUAUCCAUCAUGCUAGUUCCACUAUUAGAUAUUUUAAAGUGCAAGUCUUGUCAAUCAUCCUUCUUGCAACCCUUUGGCUUUAUUUUGGUUUGUUUCUACAUAUGCUGAAUUAGUUUAGAUUUUUAACAUUAAUCUACAAACAGCAGUGUUGUGAAAAUGCAGAAAUUGCCAGUGGAAAUGUGCUCACUACCAUGGCAAGCUGGGAGGAAAAGAUAUCAGGAUCCAUCAAGGAUCACAAAAUUAUAUGUUUAUUAGUGUUGUAUAUUGUUUUACUGCAUAGGAGAAAUUACCUUUUGGACAACUGCGACUCAUAAGGAUCCAAAAUGUGGCAAUUUAUUGUUAAUGCAAACUUCUGGUCAUCUUUAUGUAAAAGUGUCUCUGAAAAGCUUGCACAUGUAUCUGUCUACUUCAUUUGUACACAAAUUGCAGAACCAACAGAGUACCUCAGAUAUUGAGAAUAUUUCUAUUGGAGUUUUACGUAUCUGGUUCUAUUUUGUAAAUAAUAUUUGGGUUGAUGAGAAUCUGUGCUCUACCUAAUUAUAUCAAAUAAAUUACUUUUGAUUUUAUUUUCUUCAUAUUUGUUAUGGCCACACAGCCUACUCAAAUUUAAGCAAACAAGGGGGAGCUCCAGAAGACGACAGCAGUCAUGUCUAGUCUUCUAAAUGGAUCACCUACUUGGUUGCAUUGCAGGAGGAGAGAAGAAUCAAUUCUGGAAUAUGCAGAUUGAGUGUACAUAAUUUCAUAUCAAAAGCAGCAGAAAGGGAGAAAAGAGAGAAACUUGCAACUUCAAGGUGGCCAGACAUAUAUAAGUCAUAGGGAUACCAAACUCUUCUCCUGGCAAUUGCUGUUUUGUUUAGCGCAGAAAGUUCUUCCAAUGCAAUCCUUUAAAACCUUAAGAAUAGAAACAACCUUUGUGUGAAGAAACCUAUGGAGAUGCUAAGAAUAUCCAUGUUGAAACACUAGAGAAAUCCCAGACAGAGAAGGAAGAUUAUCCUAAUAUUAAGUUGAUUAAAUUUUA